RNAcentral lists this microRNA precursor (64 nucleotides) under Caenorhabditis elegans. The record is from RNAcentral. Lineage: Eukaryota; Metazoa; Nematoda; Chromadorea; Rhabditida; Rhabditidae.
CUUUGGUGAUUCAGCUUCAAUGAUUGGCUACAGGUUUCUUUCAUAAAGCUAGGUUACCAAAGCU